CCUACGGGGGGCUGCAGUGGGGAAUAUUGGACAAUGGGGGGAACCCUGAUCCAGCCAUGCCGCGUGUGUGAAGAAGGCCCUCGGGUUGUAAAGCACUUUCAGUGAGGAAGAACGCCUGUUGGUUAAUACCCAUCAGGAAAGACAUCACUCACAGAAGAAGCACCGGCUAACUCCGUGCCAGCAGCCGCGGUAAUACGGAGGGUGCGAGCGUUAAUCGGAAUUACUGGGCGUAAAGCGCGCGUAGGUGGCUUGAUAAGCCGGUUGUGAAAGCCCCGGGCUCAACCUGGGAACGGCAUCCGGAACUGUCAAGCUAGAGUGCAGGAGAGGAAGGUAGAAUUCCCGGUGUAGCGGUGAAAUGCGUAGAGAUCGGGAGGAAUACCAGUGGCGAAGGCGGCCUUCUGGACUGACACUGACACUGAGGUGCGAAAGCGUGGGUAGCAAACAGGACUAGAUACCCUAGUAGUC
RNAcentral lists this ribosomal RNA (465 nucleotides) under Vreelandella stevensii. Its description in RNAcentral is "partial 16S ribosomal RNA". It matches the Rfam family "Bacterial small subunit ribosomal RNA", at positions 338 to 795 of the family's 1533-position model. Lineage: Bacteria; Pseudomonadati; Pseudomonadota; Gammaproteobacteria; Oceanospirillales; Halomonadaceae. The record is from RNAcentral.